CGCGGGGUAAUUUACCAGGUAUCACAUGAUAUAACAUUUUAUCAUGAUAGUGGUGCAUGGCCGUUUCCAAUGGAUGCUGUGAAGUAAUGAUUAAUUUCAACAAGAUGUGAGACCCUCUAUUAAGACAGAUGUAGUGAUACAUAUGAAGGAGAGGAUUAAAACAGGUCCGUUAUGCCCUAAGAUAAUCUGGGUUGCACGCGCAAUACAAUAAUAUUUCAUAUUAUAAGGGAUAAUAUAAUGUAAGAUAUAUUUGAACAUGGAAUUGCUAGUAAAUUUUAUUUAAUAAGUAGAAUUGAAUGUGUCCCUGUUCUUUGUACACACCGCCCGUCGCUAUCUAAGAUGGUAUUAUCUAUGAACAAAUUUAUAAAGUGAAUAGAUAGUACUAAAUCUGAUAUAAGUCGUAACAUGGUUGCUGUUGGAGAACCAUUAGCAGGAUCAUAA
RNAcentral lists this ribosomal RNA (441 nucleotides) under Nosema granulosis. RNAcentral's name for it is "SSU rRNA". It matches the Rfam family "Microsporidia small subunit ribosomal RNA", at positions 838 to 1311 of the family's 1311-position model. Lineage: Eukaryota; Fungi; Microsporidia; Nosematidae. The record is from RNAcentral.